RNAcentral lists this ribosomal RNA (433 nucleotides) under uncultured bacterium. RNAcentral describes it as "partial 16S ribosomal RNA". It matches the Rfam family "Bacterial small subunit ribosomal RNA", at positions 29 to 507 of the family's 1533-position model. The record is from RNAcentral.
AACGAACGCUGGCGGCAUGCCUAACACAUGCAAGUCGAACGAGACCUUCGGGUCUAUUGUCGCACGGGUGCGUAACGCGUGGGAACCUUCCCUUAUGUUCGGAAUAACUCCCCGAAAGGGGUGCUAAUACCGGAUAAUGUCUUCUGACCAAAGAUUUAUCGCCUUUGGAUGGUCCCGCGUUGGAUUAGCUAGUUGUUAGGGUAAAAGCCUACGAAGGCGACGAUCCAUAGCUGGUAUGAGAGGAUGAUCAGCCACACUGGGACUGAGACACGGCCCAGACUCCUACGGGAGGCAGCAGUGGGGAAUAUUGGAAAAUGGGCGAAAGCAUGAUCCAGCAAUGCCGGGUGAGUGAUGAAGGCCUUAGGGUUGUAAAGCUCUUUUAACCGGGAUGAUAAUGACAGUACCGGGAGAAUAAGCUCCGGCUAACUCCGUG